This is a long non-coding RNA of Mauremys reevesii (Reeves's turtle), 1481 nucleotides long. RefSeq lists it as uncharacterized. The transcript is spliced from 5 exons. Lineage: Eukaryota; Metazoa; Chordata; Testudines; Geoemydidae. The record is from RefSeq and is a predicted model, not a curated record.
GCUCCGCCCAGGCGGGCCCGGGCUCCGCGCGGUCCUAGCGCCCGCCCGUUCCCCCCCGGCCGGGGGCUCAGGGGCCUUCCCCGGCUCGGGCCCGGGGUGACGCCACAGCGGCUGCGCCCGGCCCUGCCCCGUAGCCAGAACUGAAUCACGCCCAGUACCGGGCUAACCCCACACCAAUUUCCUCUCCCAACUCAGCACUGCCACCUAAACCCUGGUCUGGGCACAUGGCUACAGUCAGGGGAGAAGGGCGCCAUCUAGCGAGCACACCUGUGGCCUGCACAAGUUAUUAAACCGUACACAUCUGGAGCAAGAGCUCCUGGAAACACGCUACGCGUCAGAGAUUAACCACGGGUGGCCGUAUGAGAGCAGGCUGGGAAAUGCCAUUAGAACACUGGACACAUCUGGAGUUUGUUGCUGUCCCACCCGGUCUGGCAUGCUGGGUACAUGGCCCAUGGCGUUUGGGAAUGUGAAGACUGCACAAGAUCCACCUCAAGCUGGAGCGAACAGGAGGGAAAUCGGGUGCCUCGGCAGCCUUUCCCUUUCCAGCAUCAUCUCCUGAACGUGUUAUUUUUUCUGGCCAUCCUCCGCUCACCAGGGAUAGCUGAGGGACGGUGCCGCUCUGGAAUAGUCCCAUGGCUGAGCUGUCCUCUUCACCAGGACAGGGCCCAUCUCUCUUCCUCUAUGCACUCCAUGGCGGUGGCCCCGUGGAAAGUGCUCUGGCUUUGGAAGCGAGCUGAGAGUAGGGGGCGCACACGAAAGGGGAGCUGGGGCUGCCCUACAGCAAGAGGUCUUUGCUGAAACCAUUAGCCCAGGAAGGCUGCGGUGGUUCUCUUAGCCCUACGAGCACUGCAAUCCCCUUGGUUAAGGGUUGCCCUGACUCUCGAUCCUGGAUCCGACUGGGGGCAGAAAACAAGGGCUCCUGGCAGCCUUACAGUACCUACCGGAGGGAGAGGAAGGGCAGCUCAUCCAAAGCAAAGGGCCAUGAGACAGGCUUACCCGGCACAGCCAGGUACGCUCUGCUUUCGUCAGCACCGGCUUGGAACCGAUCGAGAGCCAUUCCCCACAGCGAGCCCUGGAUUCUAACUCCCCAGGUGAGCCGCACCAUUCUGAGGGCUAGAGAGAGCCAAUGAGGAGGUGCAGUGAUCUGAUCUGCAGCCCCUUCGUGUGAAUAGAGCUUCCAAAGGCAGCAGAGGGGGACGGCACUAGGCAAAUGCCAAGAAAACAGACACCUUUGAACAACAAACAGGACUUUCUGGUGGUAACCGAGCGCCGAUUCUUCCCACCUCUGCAGAGGACAGCACCAGGGAAAGGAGGCCUCGCUCUCCUGGCGGAACACAAGCUAGAGAGGAAUGUCCCCAGUCAGGUCACCGCGCAGCUCCCAGCGCUACAGGGGACACCGUUCCUCAGCCUCUCCAGAGCCCCAGUACCCAGUGGGGACAGGAAAUGAUCUUUCAUCCUGCAGUCGUAGCAGCCAGACACCA